UACGUAGGGGGCGAGCGUUGUCCGGAAUCACUGGGUGUAAAGGGUGCUCAGGCGGGUCGAUAAGUCAGAGGUGAAAUUUCACAGCUUAACUGUGAAUGUGCUUUUGAUACUGUCGGUCUAGAGUUCAGAAGAGGGCAAUGGAAUUCUUGGUGUAGCGGUAAAAUGCAUAGAUAUCAAGAAGAACACCAGUUGCGAAGGCGGUUGCCUGGUCUGUAACUGACGCUCAAGCACGAAAGCGUGGGGAUCAAACAGGAUUAGAUACCCUGGUAGUCCACGCCCUAAACGAUGAAUACUCGGUGUCGGGUCGUAAGAUUCGGUGCCUAAGCUAACGCUUUAAGUAUUCCACCUGGGGAGUACGAUCGCAAGGUUGAA
RNAcentral lists this ribosomal RNA (372 nucleotides) under uncultured bacterium. RNAcentral's name for it is "bacterial SSU rRNA". It matches the Rfam family "Bacterial small subunit ribosomal RNA", at positions 524 to 898 of the family's 1533-position model. The record is from RNAcentral.